GAAUUUCGAGAUCAGUACGCUGGUCGUGCCUUCGGUAUGCACUGGUGUCACUGGUUUCUCCCUUUUGAAGAACCGUCAUGUCAUUCAGUUGGUGUGGCGGGGAAUCAGGACUGUUACUUUGAAAAAAUUAGAGUGUUUAAAGCAGGCUCGCGCUUGAAUACAUUAGCAUGGAAUAAUGAAAUAGGACGUGUGACCCUAUUUGUGUG
RNAcentral lists this ribosomal RNA (206 nucleotides) under uncultured Glomus. Its description in RNAcentral is "partial 18S ribosomal RNA". It matches the Rfam family "Eukaryotic small subunit ribosomal RNA", at positions 636 to 847 of the family's 1831-position model. Lineage: Eukaryota; Fungi; Glomeromycota; Glomeromycetes; Glomerales; Glomeraceae. The record is from RNAcentral.